This 484-nucleotide ribosomal RNA is filed under the name uncultured bacterium. RNAcentral describes it as "partial 16S ribosomal RNA". It matches the Rfam family "Bacterial small subunit ribosomal RNA", at positions 30 to 507 of the family's 1533-position model. The record is from RNAcentral.
AUUGAACGCUGGCGGCAGGCCUAACACAUGCAAGUCGAGCGGAUGAAGGGAGCUUGCUCCUGGAUUCAGCGGCGGACGGGUGACUAAUGCCUAGGAAUCUGCCUGGUAGUGGGGGAUAACGUCCGGAAACGGGCGCUAAUACCGCAUACGUCCUGAGGUAGAAAUGGGGGGAGCUUCGGACCUCGCGCUAUGAGAUGAUCCUAGGUCGGAUUAGCUAGUUGGUGGGGUAAAGGCCUACCAAGGCGACGAUCCGUAACUGGUCUGAGAGGAUGAUCAGUCACACUGGAACUGAGACACGGUCCAGACUCCUACGGGAGGCAGCAGUGGGGAAUAUUGGACAAUGGGCGAAAGCCUGAUCCAGCCAUGCCGCGUGUGUGAAGAAGGUCUUCGGAUUGUAAAGCACUUUAAGUUGGGAGGAAGGGCAGUAAGUUAAUACCUUGCUGUUUUGACGUUACCAACAGAAUAAGCACCGGCUAACUUCGUG